Molecule: transfer RNA, 74 nt
Filed under: Pleurocapsales cyanobacterium LEGE 06147
Lineage: Bacteria; Bacillati; Cyanobacteriota; Cyanophyceae; Pleurocapsales
Rfam family: tRNA
About the family: Transfer RNA (tRNA) molecules are approximately 80 nucleotides in length. Their secondary structure includes four short double-helical elements and three loops (D, anti-codon, and T loops).
Source: Rfam by way of RNAcentral
GGGCACGUAGCUCAGUGGAUAGAGCACCAGAUUCCGGUUCUGGGUUCGCGGGAGUUCGAGUCUCUCCGUGCCCG